UGGGGAAUAUUGGACAAUGGGCGCAAGCCUGAUCCAGCCAUGCCGCGUGAGUGAUGAAGGGCCUUAGGGUUGUAAAGCUCUUUCGCCGACGAAGAUAAUGACGGUAGUCGGAGAAGAAGCCCCGGCUAACUUCGUGCCAGCAGCCGCGGUAAUACGAAGGGGGCUAGCGUUGUUCGGAAUCACUGGGCGUAAAAGCGCACGUAGGCGGAUUGUUAAAGUCAGGGGUGAAAGCCUGGAGCUCAACUCCAGAACUGCCCUUGAUACUGGCAAUCUCGAGUCCGGAAGGAGGUAAGUGGAACUGCGAGUGUAGAGGUGAAAAUUUCGUAGAUAUUCGCAAGAAACACCAGUGGCGAAGGCGGCUUACUGGUCCGGUACUGACGCUG
Molecule: ribosomal RNA, 383 nt
Filed under: uncultured bacterium
Lineage: Bacteria
Description: partial 16S ribosomal RNA
Rfam family: Bacterial small subunit ribosomal RNA
Source: RNAcentral